UAUCUCUGUAGAGUCUGCAUAUCAAUAAGCGGAGGAAAAGAAACUAACAAGGAUUCCCCUAGUAACGGCGAGUGAAGCGGGAAGAGCUCAAAUUUGAAAUCUUCAAGGGUUUACCUUGACGAAUUGUAGUUUAAAGAAGUGUUUUCUGUUGGAGUUUUCGGUAAAAGUUCUUUGGAAUAGGACAUCAUAGAGGGUGAGAAUCCCGUAUUUGACCGUUAUUUUCAGCUGUGUGAUACACUUUCAAAGAGUCGGAUUGUUUGGGAAUGCAGUCCAAAAUGGGUGGUAAAUUUCAUCUAAAGCUAAAUAUUGGCGAGAGACCGAUAGCGAACAAGUACCGUGAGGGAAAGAUGAAGAGAACUUUGAAAAGAGAGUUAAACAGUACGUGAAAUUGUCAAAAGGGAAGCGUUUGACACCAGUGUUGUUUUCUCGAAAAUCAAUUAAAAUGACCGGAUUUUGUGUUGUAUUGACUUUAUCAGCUUUCUGCACUUUUUUCUUGUCUUUUUUAAUGCACUUUUCGUUUAACAAGUCAACAUCAAUUUCUUUUGUUGUAAAAGGGUCAUUGGAAGGUGGCUUUCACUUCGGUGAAAGUGUUUAUAGCCUUUGACUUCUGCAAUCGGAGAGAUUGAGGUCUGCAGCGUAGAUCCUUCGGGGUUAGAUACAUUUGUGCUAAGUUAUAGUUUUUCAUAGACAACAUGUUGACUAUGAUUAAUCAUGUAGCUUACUCGCUUAUGCUAUUUUACCUACGCUUAGGAUGUUGAACGCGCACAGAGUCUC
Molecule: ribosomal RNA, 774 nt
Filed under: uncultured Neocallimastigales
Lineage: Eukaryota; Fungi; Neocallimastigomycota; Neocallimastigomycetes; Neocallimastigales
Description: partial large subunit ribosomal RNA
Rfam family: Eukaryotic large subunit ribosomal RNA
Source: RNAcentral